RNAcentral lists this long non-coding RNA (337 nucleotides) under Cottoperca gobio. Its description in RNAcentral is "lncRNA (ENSCGOG00000020374.1)". The record is from RNAcentral. Lineage: Eukaryota; Metazoa; Chordata; Actinopteri; Perciformes; Bovichtidae.
CUUCAUCAUCGUCGGUGCGGUGGUCGGGGUGGUGGCACUUCUGGUCAUCAUCGCUGCUGUUCUCAUCGCAUACAAGAAGAGAGUCAAAGUGACGGAGGAUGUUCAAACACCAACCCAACAGCCUGAUGAGCCAGAGCUGACCUACAUCACUGUCAGCCACCGGCCGCCCGCUCCUCACAAGAAGGUCAAAGAGCAGGAUGUGACAUAUUCUACAAUCAAUAUUGGUGACGACGGGAGCAGACGAUGAUCCCUCUGCAGCUUUGUCAGCAAAGCGGAAGAAAUCAGAAGAAAUAAGACUUGACACGUGUGGUGUUCAUAGAUCCUGCCGUGUGUUCGU